This is a long non-coding RNA of Vombatus ursinus (common wombat), 584 nucleotides long. RefSeq lists it as uncharacterized. The transcript is spliced from 3 exons. NCBI's taxonomy places the organism in Eukaryota, Metazoa, Chordata, Mammalia, Diprotodontia, Vombatidae. The record is from RefSeq and is a predicted model, not a curated record.
UCAUCUGGAGAGACACAGAAGGCUGGUCCCCUGAUGUCUCUUUCUCAUCCAGCACCUACCCACCUGACCCUGUCUGAACUGCAGAGUGUGGUUCGUCCUCCAUCACUUUACUUGUGAUUGAAGAAAGAGAAGAGGAUGAGAAUGAGAUCGGGUGACCAGCCCAACACCUUAUCAGUAUGUGUCUCUGAAAUUGCACCUGAGAGAUGUGUUCUGGGAAGAUGGUGGAGUAGGUCAAAUUUCCAGGCUCUCCAGAUUUCCUCCACAAACAGACAGAAAAUCACCAUGAGCAGUAAAAAUAAAGGGGUAAAACAGUUGUCCUCCUAAAACAUCUUGAGAGGACCUCUGAGAAGACUCCAGGGGCUGAGGAUUGGUCUGAGGGAGUUGUAAAUACCUCUAAGCAGAAUUCACUGAAUCAACAAACAGUUGGCCCUGAGGGAAGCAGUUUUCACCUCAAGAACCUUUACCUCACAGCCUCAGGAACUUUCACGUCACAAACUUCCAUCUAAAGAACAGUAGAUGAGAGGCAGAGCCAAAAAGAUGGCGCAAAGGCUCACCUGAGCUCUCCCCAAAUACUUUGUAAAAAC